Molecule: long non-coding RNA, 585 nt
Organism: Nematolebias whitei (Rio pearlfish)
Lineage: Eukaryota; Metazoa; Chordata; Actinopteri; Cyprinodontiformes; Rivulidae
Exons: 3
Source: RefSeq, a predicted model, not a curated record
CAGCAGAGCUUCGUUUUUCCUGUUUUUCUCGCAACUAGCAAAGGCAGAAAAAGAAAAGGAAGCGCGGCUUCUAGAUCAUUGAAGGGUCAAAAUUAUGAGCAAGGCUGUUUGCGCGUGAACCACACCUACGUUUGAGGACGGGGAACGGAUUACUUAUUGCACCUAUGCCUAUGAUAAAAACGGAUGGUCAUGCCAAGCCGGCCCUCGUAUGCAAGCAUGCCAGAACCACAAGAUGACCAGAGCCCCCAAAAGUCUGACCCAAAUAAUGCCACGUCAAAAGAUGUAUGGUAUUCAACUACCAAGCAGUGCCAGCCCCUACCUGCCCCUCAGAUGGACAGCCUCUUUCAUGAAUAUCAGAAGAUUUAUAAGAAGUCACAUUUAUCCACAGAUGAACCAAAUGACUUGUGAACUAUAACUUGAAUGUAUAUUUUUCUGAGUUUUUUUUAACUCUGCUCAAAGUGAAAUUGUCCUUGUACUGUAUCUGCAGAGAUUAAGCCUGUGUUUAUUUUUAUAUUGUUUACAACCUUGGAGGAGAUUCAGGUCUCAUUCCAAUUUCCUGCUAUAUGCUCCCCCCCCCCCCCCCCC